UGGGGAAUAUUGCACAAUGGGCGCAAGCCUGAUGCAGCCAUGCCGCGUGUAUGAAGAAGGCCUUCGGGUUGUAAAGUACUUUCAGCGGGGAGGAAGGCGAUAAGGUUAAUAACCUUGUCGAUUGACGUUACCCGCAGAAGAAGCACCGGCUAACUCCGUGCCAGCAGCCGCGGUAAUACGGAGGGUGCAAGCGUUAAUCGGAAUUACUGGGCGUAAAGCGCACGCAGGCGGUCUGUCAAGUCGGAUGUGAAAUCCCCGGGCUCAACCUGGGAACUGCAUUCGAAACUGGCAGGCUAGAGUCUUGUAGAGGGGGGUAGAAUUCCAGGAGUAGCGGUGAAAUGCGUAGAGAUCUGGAGGAAUACCGGUGGCGAAGGCGGCCCCCUGGACAAAGACUGACGCUCAGGUGCGAAAGCGUGGGGAGCAAACA
Molecule: ribosomal RNA, 427 nt
Filed under: uncultured bacterium
Lineage: Bacteria
Description: partial 16S ribosomal RNA
Rfam family: Bacterial small subunit ribosomal RNA
Source: RNAcentral